GGAUGAGUGGCGAACGGGUGAGUAACACGUGGGAAAUCUGCCUAGGAGUGGGGGAUAACAUUCGGAAACGGAUGCUAAUACCGCAUAUCUUCAUAGACCGCAUGGUCUAUGAAUGAAAGACGGCUUUGCUGUCGCUCUUAGAUGAUCCCGCGGCGUAUUAGUUAGUUGGUGGGGUAAAGGCCUACCAAGACAAUGAUACGUAGCCGACCUGAGAGGGUGAUCGGCCACACUGGGACUGAGACACGGCCCAGACUCCUACGGGAGGCAGCAGUAGGGAAUCUUCCACAAUGGGUGCAAACCUGAUGGAGCAAUGCCGCGUGAAUGAAGAAGGUCUUCGGAUCGUAAAGUUCUGUUAUUAGUGAAGAACAAAUCGAGGAGUAACUGUCUCGAUUUUGACGGUAACUAACCAGAAAGUCACGGCUAACUACGUGCCAGCAGCCGCGGUAAUACGUAGGUGACAAGCGUUGUCCGGAAUUAUUGGGCGUAAAGGGAGCGCAGGCGGUUGGAAUAGUCUGAUGUGAAAGCCCACGGCUUAACCGUGGAAGGUCAUUGGAAACUGUCCAACUUGAAUGCAGAAGAGGUAAGUGGAAUUCCAUGUGUAGCGGUGAAAUGCGUAGAUAUAUGGAGGAACACCAGUGGCGAAGGCGACUUACUGGUCUGUGAUUGACGCUGAGGCUCGAAAGCGUGGGUAGCGAACAGGAUUAGAUACCCUGGUAGUCCACGCCGUAAACGAUGAGCGCUAAGUGUUGGAGGGUUCCGCCCUUCAGUGCUGGAGUUAACGCAU
Molecule: ribosomal RNA, 784 nt
Filed under: uncultured bacterium
Lineage: Bacteria
Description: bacterial SSU rRNA
Rfam family: Bacterial small subunit ribosomal RNA
Source: RNAcentral